Molecule: ribosomal RNA, 180 nt
Filed under: Bacillus amyloliquefaciens
Lineage: Bacteria; Bacillati; Bacillota; Bacilli; Caryophanales; Bacillaceae
Description: partial 16S rRNA
Source: RNAcentral
CAUCAGGGAGCAAGCUCCCAUCUGUCCGCUCGACUUGCAUGUAUUAGGCACGCCGCCAGCUUGUAACACCCGAAGUCGGUGAGGUAACCUUUUAGGAGCCAGCCGCCGAAGGUGGGACAGCAUCAGGGAGCAAGCUCCCAUCUGUCCGCUCGACUUGCAUGUAUUAGGCACGCCGCCAGC